This is a long non-coding RNA of Chiroxiphia lanceolata (lance-tailed manakin), 315 nucleotides long. RefSeq lists it as uncharacterized. The record is from RefSeq and is a predicted model, not a curated record. The transcript is spliced from 3 exons. Lineage: Eukaryota; Metazoa; Chordata; Aves; Passeriformes; Pipridae.
UGCUCAACAUGACUGAUUCAAAAAACAUCUGUGGACAGCCUGCCAUAUACUUCAGUCUUUCACUAUGAUUUAAAAAUAUAAGAAGUCUUUUGAUAGAUCCUGGUUAUUUUUCCUACAGCUGGUCUAAGAACAUGUAAAGAGAUUAUCAAUGUCCAAAAGAUGGUCUCAGUACACUUUUCUGGAUCUUCAUGAUAUUGCACACUGAAAUGUCAAUUCCUGCCUGAAACCAUAAAGAAAACCCAAAUCUGUGGGCAGAUUUGACACAGAGUUGACAAUCUCACCAUUUCAUGUUUAUGAAGGAGAGAGGCAAUUUGU